This 279-nucleotide ribosomal RNA is filed under the name uncultured bacterium. RNAcentral's name for it is "partial 16S ribosomal RNA". It matches the Rfam family "Bacterial small subunit ribosomal RNA", at positions 506 to 784 of the family's 1533-position model. The record is from RNAcentral.
UGCCAGCCGCCGCGGUAAGACAGAGGGUGCAAUCGUUGCUCGGAAUCACUGGGCGUAAAGCGCGUGUAGGCGGACUGGCAAGUCAGGCGUGAAAUCCCUGGGCUCAACCUAGGAACUGCACCUGAAACUGUUGGUCUGGAGUGCUGGAGAGGGAAGCGGAAUUCCUGGUGUAGAGGUGAAAUUCGUAGAUAUCAGGGGGAACACCAGUGGCGAAGGCGGCUCACUGGCUCGAUACUGACGCUGAGGUGCGAAAGCGUGGGGAGCAAACAGGAUUAGAUA